GGAGGGAGCUCAGUGGUAGAGUGCCUGCUUAGCAUGCAUGAGGUCCUGGGUUCAAUCCCCAGUACCUCCA
This 70-nucleotide transfer RNA is filed under the name Camelus bactrianus (Bactrian camel). It matches the Rfam family "tRNA". From Rfam's summary of the family: Transfer RNA (tRNA) molecules are approximately 80 nucleotides in length. Lineage: Eukaryota; Metazoa; Chordata; Mammalia; Artiodactyla; Camelidae. The record is from Rfam by way of RNAcentral. RNAcentral also lists the same sequence under 2 other names.